GUAGGUGGCAAGCGUUGUCCGGAAUUAUUGGGGCGUAAAGCGCGCGCAGGCGGUUCUUUAAGUCUGAUGUGAAAGCCCACGGGCUCAACCGUGGAGGGUCAUUGGAAACUGGAGAACUUGAGUACAGAAGAGGAAAGCGGAAUUCCACGUGUAGCGGUGAAAUGCGUAGAGAUGUGGAGGAACACCAGUGGCGAAGGCGGCUCUCUGGUCUGUAACUGACGCUGAGGCGCGAAAGCGUGGGGAGCAAACAGGAUUAGAUACCCUGGUAGUCCACGCCGUAAACGAUGAGUGCUAAGUGUUAGGGGGUUUCCGCCCCUUAGUGCUGCAGCUAACGCAUUAAGCACUCCGCCUGGGGAGUACGGCCGCAAGGCUG
Molecule: ribosomal RNA, 373 nt
Filed under: uncultured organism
Description: partial 16S ribosomal RNA
Rfam family: Bacterial small subunit ribosomal RNA
Source: RNAcentral